GACGAACGCUGGCGGCGUGCUUAACACAUGCAAGUCGAACGAAAAGGCCCUGCUUUUGUGGGGUGCUCGAGUGGCGAAGGGGUGAGUAACACGUGAGUAACCUGAACUUGACUUUGGGAUAACUUCAGGAAACGGGGGCUAAUACCGGAUAGGAGCUCCUGCUGCAUGGGGGGGGUCGGGAAGUGUCGGCGGUUGGGGGUGGACUAGCGGCUUAUCAGCUUGUCGGUGGGGUGGUGGCCUAACAAGGCUUUGAGGGGUAGCCGGGCUGAGAGGGUGGCCGGCCACAUUAGGACUGAGAUACGGCCCAGACUCCUCCGGGAGGCAGCGGUGGGGUAUAUUGCACAAUGGGCGGAAGCCUGAUGCAGCAACGCCGCGUGCGGGAUGACGGCCUUCGGUUUGUAUACCGCUUUCCUCUGUGACGAAGUGUGAGUGACGGUAAUGGGUAAAUAAGCACCGGCUAACUACGUG
Molecule: ribosomal RNA, 468 nt
Filed under: uncultured bacterium
Lineage: Bacteria
Description: partial 16S ribosomal RNA
Rfam family: Bacterial small subunit ribosomal RNA
Source: RNAcentral